Molecule: ribosomal RNA, 1124 nt
Filed under: Paraburkholderia sp.
Lineage: Bacteria; Pseudomonadati; Pseudomonadota; Betaproteobacteria; Burkholderiales; Burkholderiaceae
Description: bacterial SSU rRNA
Rfam family: Bacterial small subunit ribosomal RNA
Source: RNAcentral
UCCUGGUGGCGAGUGGCGAACGGGUGAGUAAUACAUCGGAACGUGUCCUGUAGUGGGGGAUAGCCCGGCGAAAGCCGGAUUAAUACCGCAUACGCUCUACGGAGGAAAGGGGGGGAUCUUAGGACCUCUCGCUACAGGGGCGGCCGAUGGCAGAUUAGCUAGUUGGUGGGGUAAAGGCCUACCAAGGCGACGAUCUGUAGCUGGUCUGAGAGGACGACCAGCCACACUGGGACUGAGACACGGCCCAGACUCCUACGGGAGGCAGCAGUGGGGAAUUUUGGACAAUGGGGGCAACCCUGAUCCAGCAAUGCCGCGUGUGUGAAGAAGGCCUUCGGGUUGUAAAGCACUUUUGUCCGGAAAGAAAUCUUCUGCCCUAAUACGGCGGGAGGAUGACGGUACCGGAAGAAUAAGCACCGGCUAACUACGUGCCAGCAGCCGCGGUAAUACGUAGGGUGCAAGCGUUAAUCGGAAUUACUGGGCGUAAAGCGUGCGCAGGCGGUCCGCUAAGACAGAUGUGAAAUCCCCGGGCUUAACCUGGGAACUGCAUUUGUGACUGGCGGGCUAGAGUAUGGCAGAGGGGGGUAGAAUUCCACGUGUAGCAGUGAAAUGCGUAGAGAUGUGGAGGAAUACCGAUGGCGAAGGCAGCCCCCUGGGCCAAUACUGACGCUCAUGCACGAAAGCGUGGGGAGCAAACAGGAUUAGAUACCCUGGUAGUCCACGCCCUAAACGAUGUCAACUAGUUGUCGGGUCUUCAUUGACUUGGUAACGAAGCUAACGCGUGAAGUUGACCGCCUGGGGAGUACGGUCGCAAGAUUAAAACUCAAAGGAAUUGACGGGGACCCGCACAAGCGGUGGAUGAUGUGGAUUAAUUCGAUGCAACGCGAAAAACCUUACCUACCCUUGACAUGGCCGGAACCCUGCUGAAAGGUGGGGGUGCUCGAAAGAGAACCGGUACACAGGUGCUGCAUGGCUGUCGUCAGCUCNUGUCGUGAGAUGUUGGGUUAAGUCNCGCAACGAGCGCAACCCUUGUCCCUAGUUGCUACGCAAGANCACUCUAGGGANACUGCCGGUGACAAACCGGAGNAAGGUGGGGAUGACGUCAAGUCCUCAUGGCCCUUAUGGGU